This 343-nucleotide small RNA is filed under the name Theobroma cacao (cacao). RNAcentral's name for it is "sRNA Tc04v2_g025940". The record is from RNAcentral. Lineage: Eukaryota; Viridiplantae; Streptophyta; Magnoliopsida; Malvales; Malvaceae.
AUGACCCAAUAGAAAAUAAGUGGGCAUGGCCCAAUAAGAAAUAAAAAUAAUUGGGCUUAGCCCAAAUAAGGAAAAUGGAGAAGCCCAUGAAGAGGUGGCCCAAAGGUCAUAAAGAAAUGAAAAAGGUCCAAUGGAAAGUUUGUCGUGGAGGCGUGCCAAACGAAGUAUGUGACCGACAACUAGGAAUAAUUAUACACGCGUACGAAUCAAUAGUGAAGUAAUAUCCCACUAUUAUGAAGUGAGUAGGGGGUGUCAAUUUUAAAAAUUUCGUAUAUAUAUACAUGUACGUGUAUUUUAUGUGAAGUGCAAAAUUUAUGGAAAGCAUGCGUUGAUAGAAUUUUAA